UAGAGAACAGCUCACACUGCCUUCUCCCAGAAACCGAGCCCGAGUUCUGCUACACGUGUGACAGCCACUACACUUCCUUCCACUGGAUGGAAAGCUGUCACAGGUUUCUGAGAGGCGCGAUGCAGCUCUAACCUUCAGCACGCGAGAAAGGAAAAGAAAAUCGUUGCUAAACUCGGAUGAAUACCGGAUUGGCUUUAACGAGGAGCGAGGAGUGUCUGGAAAAUGCCCGAUCCUCAUGAAGGAGUUCAGGCGUGGAGCCAGGUGAAAAGUGAAACUCUGUGAAGAUGCUGUAUGUCAUGCUUGAAGAAGGAUCCCUCUAUCAAGGAAGACACUUGUGAAGGAGGUCCUGUGCCUGAAAGAAAUCAUGGAAUUGGUUGACUAUGUUCUGACCUCCUAGCAGAGUGCUUGUAUGUAGCCAAUGAGCAUCAUAUCCCAGAGGUUCAUCUGCAUAUUUAGUAAUAUUAUUUCUACAACUGAGAAUGUUCCUGCUCUUCUGAGAGCAAGUCUACAAGAGGAUGAAGGAGAUUUACAGGAGUGGCUGCUACAACCUGAGAUUUUUGCAGAUGUUUUGCAUUGUUAGCUGCAGGCCUUCUACUUGAACCAUUAGCCUUCCUGCACUGGUGGAGUUUACUGGUGAAUUCCAGAAUAUUAACCCACUGAU
Molecule: long non-coding RNA, 661 nt
Organism: Stegostoma tigrinum
Lineage: Eukaryota; Metazoa; Chordata; Chondrichthyes; Orectolobiformes; Stegostomatidae
Exons: 3
Source: RefSeq, a predicted model, not a curated record